This is a non-coding RNA of Caenorhabditis elegans, 21 nucleotides long. The record is from Ensembl. Lineage: Eukaryota; Metazoa; Nematoda; Chromadorea; Rhabditida; Rhabditidae.
UAAUUUUACGAAACGGUGUGA